Molecule: long non-coding RNA, 200 nt
Organism: Erpetoichthys calabaricus (reedfish)
Lineage: Eukaryota; Metazoa; Chordata; Cladistia; Polypteriformes; Polypteridae
Exons: 2
Source: RefSeq, a predicted model, not a curated record
CAGAAGAGAAGCUCACAUGGCAGAUGAGGCUCCACCAGCGCCCAGCUCCACUCCUUCCAGCAGCAGCUUGUACGUGGCGAUCUCCUUCUCCAGUUUCUCUUUGAUGUUCAGAAGGUUCCUGUAGUCCUCAGACUGGGAGGUUAUGCUGUUCCGGAUGCUCAUCAACUCCCCCUCCAUGGUACCCACCAAGGCAGCGUAAC